CAGCAGCCGCGGUAAUACGGAGGGGGCUAGCGUUGUUCGGAAUUACUGGGCGUAAAGCGCACGUAGGCGGCUUUGUAAGUUAGAGGUGAAAGCCUGGAGCUCAACUCCAGAAUUGCCUUUAAGACUGCAUCGCUUGAAUCAUGGAGAGGCGGGUGGAAUUUCGAGUGUAGAGGUGAAAUUCGUAGAUAUUCGGAAGAACACCAGUGGCGAAGGCGGCCCGCUGGACAUGUAUUGACGCUGAGGUGCGAAAGCGUGGGGAGCAAACAGGAUUAGAUACCCGGGUAGUCCCUGUCUCUUAUAC
RNAcentral lists this ribosomal RNA (301 nucleotides) under uncultured bacterium. RNAcentral's name for it is "partial 16S ribosomal RNA". It matches the Rfam family "Bacterial small subunit ribosomal RNA", at positions 509 to 807 of the family's 1533-position model. The record is from RNAcentral.